This 4066-nucleotide unclassified non-coding RNA is filed under the name Anthonomus grandis grandis. RNAcentral's name for it is "wD repeat-containing protein 7". Lineage: Eukaryota; Metazoa; Arthropoda; Insecta; Coleoptera; Curculionidae. The record is from RNAcentral.
AAAAGAAUUGUGUCAAAUUGAACAGCUGAUUUGCUGAUUAUCUGCAGGAAAAUGGCGAGCCAAUGUAAAUCGCGAAAAAUCCAAUAAAUUUAAGUGUUUUCCGUCCCGAAGCUGUUAAUUAACACAGUAAACCAUGCCUGGUACUAGUCUUGUGGUACCUGUGGUAAUGUGGGGCAAGUUUGCCCCUACACAUUGCAUUUCAUGCAUUUAUUUGUCAAAAGACCAGAAGACUUUAGCUACUGGGUGUUAUGAUGGACAAAUAUGCCUUUGGCAAGUAGAUCCGGACACCCUUGAGAUGACUCCUAGGUGUCUUCUUGUGGGGCACACAGCACCCAUCCUAUGCAUUUCAAGAGCCUCGAUAGUGCAAGAUAACAACUACAUCGUUAGUAGCUCAGAAGCAGGAGAGAUGUGUACCUGGGACAUUACAGAUGGUAAAUGCAGGGAGGCAGUAAAGUUACCACAAGUUCACACUAAUAUGCAAGCUUACCACAUGUGUAACUGUGAGGAUGUCAGACUAUUUUGCAACGGCUAUUACCCAGAAAUCUUGGUUAUGGAUCCCUUUAGCCUGGAAAUUUUGUUCACAUUAUCAUCUAAACAAAAUCCUGACUGGAUAAGCGCUUUACACGUGCUUCGGCCAGCGAAACGCAAAGAUGAUGUCGUUCUUGCAUUAACAACCACAGGGAUGGUGAAGGUGUGGACUUUGUUGGGUCAUGAAAAUAAACAUUCUGAACCUAUUUAUGAAAAUGAAAGUAAACAGAUUCGGACCUUGAAUGCAGUUUGUUUGCAAUGCUGUGCGUAUAACCAGAGGACGGUGUUAGUAGUUUGUACUAAGUAUUGGCAGAUUUAUGAUGCAGGAGAUUUUAGUGUGCUUUGCUCUUAUUUAACCCCACGAGGAGAACGCUGGAUGUCAGGUGACUUUUUAGCAGUUGACCGAAUCAUCAUGUGGUCAGAUGCUGGCAAAGGUUAUAUGUAUAAACUACCUGCCAAAAAGCUGCGUGGAAAGAAUAUUAACAAUAGUAGUACAGCAGACCACAAAGACUUUCACACAAAAAGCAUCGAAAAUGAUACACCGUUCCUGUACUGUCUUCUCAGUCAACCUGAUGGAAAGCCCUUAUCUUGUCCUCCUGCUAUGCGCCUAGUAACCACAUACAGAAACGCACAAGCCAAACGUUAUUUGCUAAGAGGAGACUCCGAGGGCUCAGUUUUGCUUUGGGCUAUACCGGAUAUAUCACCUGCCCAGCUGGAAGCUAUAAGAUCGCAAGCACCGUCACAACCAGUGACUGCGUCAGCUACAGUUAUUACUAGUUUAACUAGUGCAUGGAAAUCCGUAAGGCCGGAUCCUAUGGGUGUUUUGGACCAAGUCGAGCGACAAGAAAGGCAAACAAUCAAAUUAACCGCCAGCAUUUACCUACCUCUUCAGUGUAGAUUGGUAGUAGGGAGGGAGGACGGGUCGAUUAUUAUUGUUCCAGCGACUCAAACUGUAAUGUUGCAACUGUUACACGGGAACCAUCAACAGUAUAAUAAUUGGCCUCCACACCAGAUUUUAUCAGGCCAUCAUGGCCGGGUCAACUGCUUGCUUCACCCACACAGGGAGCACCCAAGGUAUGAUAGGAACUAUCUUGUAUCAGGAGGUGUGGAUUUUGCUGUAUGUCUUUGGAAUUUAGUCACCGGCCAAUUACUGCACCGCUUUUGUGUACAUGCUGGUGAAAUUACUCAGCUCAUGGUACCGCCUGAAAACUGUAGUGCAAGAAUCCAGAAAUGCAUUUGUUCUGUAGCAUCCGAUCACUCAGUUACAUUACUGAGCUUGGCUGAGCGGAAGUGCGUAUGUCUCGCCUCGAGACACUUAUUUCCAGUAACGACGAUAAAGUGGCGACCCAAGGAUGAUUUUAUGAUAAUAGGAUGUUCUGACGGUACCGUUUACGUUUGGCAAAUGGAAACUGGACAUUUAGAUAGAGUGCUACAAGGUAUUGCCGCAGAAGAAGUUCUCUACGCCUGCGAAGAAAACGAGGACGCAGGUUCUUCUUCAGAUAUGGGUCUAGCAAAUCCAGCAGUACAUUUCUUCAGAGGGUUAAGGCAUAGAAACUUAUCAGCGAUUAGGCACGCGACUCAGCGGGGACUGCACCAACUGCAACAGUUGAACGCACAUACGGAGGCUGGUGAUCCUCAUGCCAGAAGGGUGCAUGGACAGACGUCUUUGGGAGUGCAAGGAUUUAGGACAAACCCUAAAGAUCCAGAAAGUCAUAUUCUGUUCUUCGAUAUAGAAGCUUUAAUUAUAGAGCUUUUAAGUGAGGAAUACUCCAUGAUGUCCCCUGGUAGUCUGGAGGCCGCGGGACUUAUUUCUCAAUCUGAGUACCUUAAGGUAGCAGCAUUAACCCAAAGCGCCAGUCCAGAUGCACAUAAAAAAAUUGCCGACUUUUUUGGAAAAGUCAAGGAUAAGGCAGAAAAUAUGGAGAAGAUGAUUAAAGAAAAAGAUAAACAUGGGAUUUUGGCUAAAAUGAAAGAGGGUGCCGAACAAGUGCAAACUAAAAUACAAGCAAGAGCUGAAAUGAUGCUUAAAGGAUCGGAUGUAAAUAAAGAAAACUCCGACUCAACCAAAGAAAAACCUAGACCGGGAAGCCUAGGUGCAUUGGAUACCUCCCAUGGUAUGGAAAUAGCCCAGCUGUUACUGUCCCUACUUCAUUCUUGGGGCCUGGAUGAUGACCUGGACCGGGUUUGUCAAGUCAAACUAGGGCUACUACGCCCUAUGGUGCCCCUUUCCUUUGGAGUUUUAUCCAAAGCAAAUCACAUGUCGUUGUUUUUGCCCACAUGGCAUAAUACGAUACCAUUGGAGGACGAACCGGUAUCGGACCAUCAAGAUUUAGAAGUUAGUUUACCACCGGAAUUGGUGAGGAGAGAAAAGCUGACUAGAAUAUUUACAAGCAGGACUCACUGGGAGCUCAGUACUACUCUAACCAGCAACCACUUACUCGCAAUCAUUGCCCUUAGUCAUACCCUCAUGAGCAUGAGCAACGCCACCUUUGUGCCUGAACAAGAGAGAAAUAGAAAGCUUCAUAGGCAAUCAACCAGAGUUAACUGGAGCAGAGCAGAUGAGGAACAAGAAGAUAUGUAUACCCAACAACAGGCGCAAAUCAAGCAAGGCUGGUCCUUGUUGGCGACCCUCCAUUGUGUUUUGUUACCAGAUAAGGUGGUUGAACAUGGAGCAAAACAUUUUAAAAGGCCACAAGUCGAGAUGAUGGCCAAAAGGUGGCAGCAUCAUUGCGUGGAAGUGCGCGAGGCAGCUCAGACAUUGCUUCUUGCGGAACUUUCAAGAAUGGGUCCUAAAGGAAGAAAGCAGCUAGUCGAUGCAUGGGCUCAGUACCUGCCUUUAUACACGCAAACUGAAACGAUAAAUCAGCAGGCGGUCAAUCAACCUAAUGCUCAGAAUCAUGUCAAUUCAAACGGGCCUAAUACUCCUGAUCCAGUGGAUGAAGAUUUUGAAGAAGAAGAAGAGGAGCAAGUUAGGAAACCUUCCAGUUUGACAGAGUUAAAGCGUAAGCAAUCGACAGCCGUCAUUUUAUUGGGGGUGAUAGGAGCAGAAUUCGGACAGGAUAUUACCAGUUGUGAUAAUUCCAAAAAGAGAAUAGCAGAAGAUAGGAGAAAGAAUUCUGUUGUAGAAGGAUUUGGCUCAGGAAAUAACAAUUUAGCGAGGCUAACAGCAAUGGCGCUAUCUCAUUUGCUGCUCGCACCACCGUCACCUCGAUUGCCCGCACAUAUUCCACUCAGGAGGGCAGCAAUCGACCUGAUUGGUCGAGGAUUUACCAGCUCUGUUCAGAAGCAGACAAGUUAGUACCCAGUAUGACUUACGGAUUGCCCCUGACUCCACAAGCAGAUUCCUGUAGGACGGCCAGACAUGCGUUGACACUUAUAGCUACUGCAAGACCAGCGGCCUUUAUAACGACCAUGGCGAAAGAAGUGGCGCGGUAUAAUGCCAUGCAACAGAACGCGCAGACGUUGAACGUCAACAUGUUAACUAACAGCGUGCUGCACAAAGCAAAACCGGAAAUUCUUAGGGGCGUGGAGCUGCUCA